CCUCGGCCCUUAAAAUAGGCCUGGAGGCUUCUGAAAAACUAAAGACAGAGAAAACGCUCAGUGCCUUAUAGACGGAACACCCUAACGCCCAGAGCCCCGUGUUUGUUUCCCGCCUUCCUCCUCCCUGAGCACUAGCCAGAGAAGCCGGAAGUUGACAGUUUAGAGAGGCUUGAAGCUUCUGACCGCUUUCUGGCAUUUCAGCCCUCACAGGGCAAUUCAGCAUUCUUGGUGGCAACCCGGGGAAGGCAUGAAUCCAUGAAGCCACGCUUCUGGCAGAGAUUUAUAGUGAACCUUCUCCAACCAGCAAGAUACCUGUUUGCUCGAAACUGAUAGCCGCCCAGGGUCCACAUCCAGUUUCUGCAAACAAGCUUUGAAAUGCCACCGUGGGGGCAAAUCGUUCCACCAUAUAUGUCUUCCAUGCCGUUAUCUGCUUCCCGGCCCCCGCCCCUGCAAGAGCAUCUCCCUGGGGAGCCUGGUGGCCUUAAACUCUGGAUGUUUCUCUCGGCUUCUAGGAUUUCAGGUGCGGCAUUUCAGGGUCACCCCGACCCACUGAAUUAACCUCCCUUUGAAACGUUAACUUAAACGGAAGAAACUCCAUUCCCUCUCUUGUAUGUAGGACCUCGGGGAGUCUGGAAAAUAAGCUACGCUACUGCCGGCAUCGCCGAAAGAGAUUUGAGCCGUAUUUGUGAGCUCUCCACACCCCGGAAAUCAGGCCAGGUUCCAGGUCAAACGUAUCACACACACCGGCUUUCGUGGAGGCUUGACGAGCUUCGGUAUCACAAGAACUUGAAAAGGCAGCCCGCCAUUCUCGUUUCUGCCUCCCUUACCCAGCAGAUCACAAUUGAUGUCCCGACAGUGCUGGCCUACUCAGAGAGGAUGCUAAACCAUCUGGUCCUCAGACGUUCUCAACAGGAAUGCAGGGUGCAGAGAGGCGGCAGCAUCUCGGAGGCUGGCCAAAAGUGGGGACCGUGACCAAGUUUCCAUGUGGCUUGGCUUCUGGCACAGAGGAAACCAGCACCUAUAGCUCAGUGACACACAGCUCUUUUAAUAGACUUCUCCAGAACAGUGGUGACAUUUGACAAGAGAUCCCAGUGCCGUCUACUCACGCUCUGGGAGACUGUAACGUGGGAAGACCACUUCCUCGGGAUGUGGAGGCAGGAGCAUGAGAUUAUACAUAGCUGGACAUUUAUGCCCGAAAGCACUCCUUGGUUUCACAGUUGGCUGAGCAGUACAAGGGUGGACCCAGGGAGGAGAGCGAAAGCUCUGCCGUGUAAAGAGGCUCGCAGGGGACUCCAGUAGCUGGUCCACGUGCUUCUUCACUUUCAGAAUUUAAGUCGCAUGCAACGAAGGCGACAUUGUAGUGUAUGCGGGAUGGUGAAGGCAUUCACGGACCACAUUACUAAAUACACUAUAAUACUUUGUUUGAAUUAACUUAACUACUGUAGACCAGAGGCACCUUCAAAAUACUCCAUCCACAAAGCUGCAAGUUAAAAACGAUAGUAAAUGGGGCUGGAGAGAUGGCUCAGUGGUUAAGAGCAUUGCCUGCUCUUCCAAAGGUUCUGAGUUCAAUUCCCAGCAACCACAUGGUGGCUCACAACCAUCUGUAAUAAGAUAUGGUGCCCUCUUCUGGCCUGCAGACAUACACACAGACAGAAUAUUGUAUACAUAAUAAAUAAAUAAAUAUUAAAAAAAAUCGAUAGUAAUACCUGCACGAAGCCCAGAAUAUUCACAUCUACUCCUCUGUCAGCUGGACUAGGAUGAAAGCAAUAAGAGAUUAUCUCCUCUCUCGCUGCUGAAAAGAAUUAAGAUUUGAAAACUGAAUUGAUAUUACUACUGUCCUCAAGUUUUGCAUACGUGCAGGCAUACCUACACUGGGGUGCAGACCAGAAGGUAAUGGCCGGUAUCUUCUUCAACUGUUCUCCACAAUAUUUUUAUCUUUUCAAGAAUUUAUUUUCAAAAAGUAUCUUGCCAGGCAUGGUGGGUCACACUUUUAACCACUUAACAAGGCAGAAGAAGGCAAAUCUCUGUGAUUUUUUAGGCGAGCCUGGUCUACAGAGUGAGUCCCAGGACAGUUAGGGCUACACAGUAAGACCUCUCUUCCUCUCUCUCUGUCUCUCUGUCUCUCUCUCUCUUUCUCUCUCUCUCUCUCUCUCUCUCUGUGUUUACUGCUUGUGUGUUUGCAUGUAAGGAUCUUGUCACCGUGUAUAUAUGUGGAUAACCUGAAGGACCUGCUUUUCUCCUUGUACCAUGUGGGUUCUGGGGGAUUGAUCUCAGGUUCUAGGCCUGGCAGCUAGUCCCUCUCUCUACCCACUGAGCCACCCCACCUGGGUCUCUCACUGAGCUUGGAUCUCACUGAUUUGGUAAACUGGCUGGCCAACAGGCUCCGUGGACCCCAUCUCUGUCUCCUACCUGCCAGCACUGGGGUUACAGACAUGCAUUGCAGUCCCUAGCAUCGCAGGUGCUGUGUGUGUGCGUGUGUGUGUGUGUGUGUGUGUGUCUUUGUUUAAAUCCCAGUCUUCACACUUGUAAGUCAGGCACCUCACCCACUGAAUAAUCUCAACAUUCUGGCUCUCAUGCUUAAAACCAGACCUUUUCUGGUCUGUGUAAAAAUAGACACAAUACUUGUAGAGACAGAUAAGGAAUGUCUACUUACACAUUUGAUGAUGUCGGUUAAUAAUACAAGAAAUAUGCCUGUCCCUACCCCUGUCCCCAAGAAAUAUCCCAUCUCAUUUGACUCUUUCUAUCCAAUUCUAUAACAGUGUUUGAGUAAAUUCUCAAAUUAUCUAAGUGCCGUCUGGCAACUUGGAAUUCUAAACCUCUGGUUGCUUCUAGAUGCCCUCGGAAGUUAAUUUUAUUGUCUAAACUUAAGAUUUACUUCUGGGUAACUUGCUAACUAGAAUCCUGGGCUUCUACUCGCAAAAGCCAACUGCGUAACUGUAGAGUGACCUAUAAAUCUGCGUAAUGUCUAAAUCCUCCUCAUUCUUCUCACACUGAGACACUGAGCACCGAGGAUUAUAUCCAGUGGGCAGAGGCAAGGGGGAAAGUGUUGUCUCUGAUGGAAACAUAUACAGUUUCUGAAAGGUCACACAGACCCUGUGACCUAUGAAGUGGCCAUUGAAACGUAUGUGAAAAUCUAUAAGAUAUCAAGUUGCAGAACGUCGGCUUUUCCUGCUCCUGGGACUUGACUGUGCUGAGCCAUAUCCUAUGCCCAACAGGUACUCUGUUUACGAUGGUCCCAGACUUGCAAAGAAGCCUGUUUAACGCUUCUUCCACGGACAAAAUUUUAGACCAUGCAAAGCAGUAAGAAAUCUUUGUACCAAAUGUGCUUGUUCACCAAAUUUAUUUUGGAACGUUCAGAACACCAGAAUAUGACAAAUUAAAAACAAAGCACCCCAGAUUGCUACACGUUAAUACCUGAGCGGAGACGGAAGGCAAAUGCUCACCUAAUAAAACUACAUCGUAACGUGAGAACAGAGAUUAAAAACGUUUACAAGACUCUACAAUGCACAGAAGCAGCACUUUCUCCCAAACCACAACUGGUUCAACGUAACAGCGUUAAUUAUACCAUACCAGAAACACACAGAAGAGAACACACAUGCGUGUUCGGUGCACUACACGCAACGCGACACACUGGGGGAGGAGCAUGCAUGUUCGGACGGGAAAAUCUGCACGACGGUUAUCGUUUUCAGUACACACUUUCGGACAGGCUUCUUGCACUAAGCCUUGUUACUACACACUAGAGUUUACGGAUGAGCACAAAAAUCGGCGUGCAAAUAAACGCUAACUCCACUGAGUCUCCGUCCGCAGCCACGAGUCGUCUGCGCUCUAAAGGUUUAACUGUAAGGAUAAAAACUGAUGUCAGCUGAGAGACCCUUGAUUACACACACCCUUGUCUGAACAGCCUCGUCGUCAGUCUUACCAGGCUUUGAGGAAAGACACACUGUCAUUUCUACAAGUUUUUAAGAGACUCUUAUUUAAAAUAAAAACUUGAACAUAGUAAAGGGGUAGUGAAGGUGAAACAGGACAAGAGAAAUACACUGAUUUUAUGCCCAAAAGUCACGUGGAAAAGCAAACAGUACACGGGGAUCCGGACGCCUUUGGAAAAGAGCGUGAUUAUACGAUAAAUCGAGUAAUUUGGACUUUUAUGAAAAUCAUACUCCUUGUUUAAAAUAAACACAAUAUAAACUUUAGACUUUACAUUAAUUAAAAACAGAGGAGUUAAUUCUCCCGUGACACCAUAAAAUAAUUAGGCAGGAAAAAGAAAAUGAGAGGGAAAUGGUAACUUUUUUUUUUUUUAAAUGACAUUGAUCUGAGUUCAGCCACCGCAAAAUCAUUACUGGGUUGAUACCCCUUCCUUGAGAAAACAAACACAAGUCUCAAUGUGCCACAACACGGGGCACAAGUCUUAGAAGGAACUCACAUGUUUGAUAAGAUCAUUACCAAUAAGACAAAAAUACAUUUCAAUGAUUAAUUUUCAUAUAUUCACUAAGUUUAGAAACAGGAGGGCCGUGACUAUCCCUUAAAGCAUCUCCCCCAGAAACUGCAGUCAAAUCUAAUUUCCCAGCUAUAUUAAGACUAAAUCAAUUUUUUUUAAAAAAAAAUAGAACAAAAAAGCAGCUCUGGAAAUUAAAGGAGGCCUCAAGAAUAAUGGCUGUGCGGACCCUAAAGGAGGUGUGGGCCAAUUUAUACUGAAGGCUUAUAAUUUCAGCCGCUUGAAAGAAAAGGAUUUGAGAUGAAUCUGAGAAGGCUGCCCACAGUGAAAUAUCGAGAUACAAAAAUCGCAGGGCGUUGCUUCGUCAUUUUUUAAGGCACAGUCUGUUUUAUCCCAAAUAAGUUCAAGGUCACAGUGAUGAUAUAUAUAUUCAGUUUUGGUCUAGUUUAUCUUGGGCACGUUGUUACAUUUACAUUAGUCCUAGGUUGAAGAAACCACAGUAUGGCUUCACAACGAUACACCUCAGUUCCCAUUUUGAAAAAAUAUAUGUAACACAACUUCCUAGUUUAUACACAAUAAAAAAUGAAGAUCUCUCUCCCAACCACACAUCGGGGAGGGGGGAUUAGCAUGAGAAUUCUGACAAACACCUGUUUCCCCACACACAGAGCCAGCUUACGUAAAGGACAAGGCGUCUCCUACCUAGGCUAAGGCCAGGGCACAUAGGGGACACACCCCUCCCAGAGGGCACACGCACCCACCCUGUAGCCAACCCCCAUAAACCAUCUUUCUCUCCACAGUCCCCAACAGUCAGACAACCGUUACUCCACCAAGACCAAGUAAUGUCAGUAUCUGGCUUUCCACAGUGUUUGAUACAAGGUGUGCCCUGCUCAAAGGUUUGCUUCAAUGGACUACGUUAGGGUCUAGCGGACAAACACUUGGGACUGAACAGAAACAAAC
Molecule: long non-coding RNA, 5389 nt
Organism: Alexandromys fortis (reed vole)
Lineage: Eukaryota; Metazoa; Chordata; Mammalia; Rodentia; Cricetidae
Exons: 3
Source: RefSeq, a predicted model, not a curated record